This 461-nucleotide long non-coding RNA is filed under the name Helianthus annuus (common sunflower). RNAcentral describes it as "sRNA HanXRQr2_Chr15g0702241". The stretch from base 185 to 312 matches the Rfam family "Small nucleolar RNA SNORD14". The record is from RNAcentral. Lineage: Eukaryota; Viridiplantae; Streptophyta; Magnoliopsida; Asterales; Asteraceae.
UAUCGAUGAUGAAAGAUGAAAGGCUUGUUUCUCAUGAACAUUCGCAGUGGCCGCCUGAUUGAACUUUCGCCUUCGCCAGGCUUGAGAGUUCAUGUUGCUCUUUCCUUCCUUCCUUGGAUGUCUGAGAUCCUCCUCUUUUUUUCUUUUCUUUUUUUUAUUUUUAUUUGUUUUGAUGUCUAUAAGAAACUGGUGAUGAUAAUGUUAAGGCUUGUUUCUCAGAAACAUUCGCAGUGGCCGACUAAGAGCUUUCGCCUUCGCCAGGCUCGAGAGCUUGUGCUGUCUUGCUCCUUCCUUCCUUGGAUGUCUGAAGUUUCAAUAUUAUACAUAAAUUAUUUAUUUAUUUAUUUAUUUAUGGAGAUUUAGUGUGGGUUUCUCAAUGAUGAUUUCAAUAGAUGACGAGUCUGAUGUAAUAUCCAUUCCAUUCAAUUAUGAAGACGAAUCGAGGCAUUUGUCUGAGAGCC